Molecule: ribosomal RNA, 502 nt
Filed under: uncultured bacterium
Lineage: Bacteria
Description: partial 16S ribosomal RNA
Rfam family: Bacterial small subunit ribosomal RNA
Source: RNAcentral
GACGAACGCUGGCGGCGUGCCUAAUACAUGCAAGUCGAACGAACCGCGACUAAGUGCUUGCACUAAGUCAAGGUGAGUGGCGAACGGGUGAGUAACACGUGGGUAACCUACCUCAUAGUGGGGGAUAACAGUCGGAAACGACUGCUAAUACCGCAUAGGACAUAGGAUCACAUGAUCCAGUGAGGAAAGGUGGCGCAAGCUAUCGCUAAGAGAUGGACCCGCGGUGCAUUAGCUAGUUGGUAGGGUAAAGGCCUACCAAGGCGAUGAUGCAUAGCCGACCUGAGAGGGUGAUCGGCCACAUUGGGACUGAGACACGGCCCAAACUCCUACGGGAGGCAGCAGUAGGGAAUCUUCCGCAAUGGACGCAAGUCUGACGGAGCAACGCCGCGUGAGUGAAGAAGGUCCUCGGAUCGUAAAGCUCUGUUGUUAGAGAAGAACAGCGCAUAGAGUAACUGCUAUGCGUGUGACGGUAGCUAACCAGAAAGCCACGGCUAACUACGUG